RNAcentral lists this ribosomal RNA (471 nucleotides) under uncultured bacterium. RNAcentral describes it as "partial 16S ribosomal RNA". It matches the Rfam family "Bacterial small subunit ribosomal RNA", at positions 28 to 506 of the family's 1533-position model. The record is from RNAcentral.
GACGAACGCUGGCGGCGUGCUUAACACAUGCAAGUCGAACGCUGAAGCUUGGUGCUUGCACUGGGUGGAUGAGUGGCGAACGGGUGAGUAAUACGUGAGUAACCUGCCCUUGACUCUGGGAUAAGCCUGGGAAACUGGGUCUAAUACUGGAUACGACAUGCCACUGCAUGGUGGUGUGUGGAAAGGGUUUUACUGGUUUUGGAUGGGCUCACGGCCUAUCAGCUUGUUGGUGGGGUAAUGGCCUACCAAGGCGACGACGGGUAGCCGGCCUGAGAGGGUGACCGGCCACACAGGGACUGAGGCACGGCCCAGACGCAUACGGGAGGCAGCAGUGGGGAAUAGUGCACAAUGGGCGGAGGCCUGAUGCAGCGACGCCGCGUGGGGGAGGACGGCCUUCGGGUGGUAAACCUCUUUCAGCACGGAAGAAGCGAGAGUGACGGUACGUGAAGAAGAAGCGCCGGCUAACUACGU